This 69-nucleotide transfer RNA is filed under the name Cucujoidea sp. 7 KM-2017. Its description in RNAcentral is "tRNA-Lys". Lineage: Eukaryota; Metazoa; Arthropoda; Insecta; Coleoptera. The record is from RNAcentral.
CAUUAGAUGACUGAAAAUAAGUAUUGGUCUCUUAAACCAUUUUAUAGUAAUUAAUGACUACUUCUAAUG